Molecule: ribosomal RNA, 253 nt
Filed under: uncultured bacterium
Lineage: Bacteria
Description: partial 16S ribosomal RNA
Rfam family: Bacterial small subunit ribosomal RNA
Source: RNAcentral
UACGAAGGGGGCGAGCGUUGUUCGGAUUUACUGGGCGUAAAGCGCACGUAGGCGGCUUUGUAAGUUAGAGGUGAAAGCCCGGGGCUCAACUCCGGAAUUGCCUUUAAGACUGCAUCGCUAGAAUUGUGGAGAGGUAAGUGGAAUUCCGAGUGUAGAGGUGAAAUUCGUAGAUAUUCGGAAGAACACCAGUGGCGAAGGCGACUUACUGGACACAUAUUGACGCUGAGGUGCGAAAGCGUGGGGAGCAAACAGG